UAGGGAAUAUUGGACAAUGGGGGCAACCCUGAUCCAGCCAUGCCGCGUGAGUGAAGAAGGCCCUCGGGUUGUAAAGCUCUUUUGUCCGGAAAGAAAAGCUUCGGGUUACUACCCCGGGGUUCUGACGGUACCGGAAGAAUAAGCACCGGCUAACUUCGUGCCAGCAGCCGCGGUAAUACGAAGGGUGCAAGCGUUACUCGGAAUUACUGGGCGUAAAGCGUGCGUCGGUGGUUGUUUAAGUCUGAUGUGAAAGCCCUGGGCUCAACCUGGGAGUGGCAGUGGAAACUGGGCAGCUAGAGUGCGGUAGAGGGUAGUGGAAUUCCCGGUGUAGCAGUGAAAUUCGUAGAGAUCGGGAGGAACAUCUGUGGCGAAUGCGACUGCCUGGACCAGCACUGAAACUGAGGCACGAAAGCGUGGGGAGCAAACA
This 427-nucleotide ribosomal RNA is filed under the name uncultured bacterium. Its description in RNAcentral is "bacterial SSU rRNA". It matches the Rfam family "Bacterial small subunit ribosomal RNA", at positions 355 to 774 of the family's 1533-position model. The record is from RNAcentral.